This 301-nucleotide ribosomal RNA is filed under the name uncultured bacterium. RNAcentral's name for it is "partial 16S ribosomal RNA". It matches the Rfam family "Bacterial small subunit ribosomal RNA", at positions 509 to 807 of the family's 1533-position model. The record is from RNAcentral.
CAGUCGCCACGGGAAUACGUAGGUGGCAAGCGAUGUCUGGAAUUAUUGGGCGUAAAGGGCUCGCAGGCGGUUUCUUAAGUCUGAUGUGAAAGCCCCCGGCUCAACCGGGGAGGGUCAUUGGAAACUGGGAAACUUGAGUGCAGAAGAGGAGAGUGGAAUUCCACGUGUAGCGGUGAAAUGCGUAGAGAUGUGGAGGAACACCAGUGGCGAAGGCGACUCUCUGGUCUGUAACUGACGCUGAGGAGCGAAAGCGUGGGGAGCGAACAGGAUUAGAUACCCCAGUAGUCCCUGUCUCUUAUAC